RNAcentral lists this ribosomal RNA (118 nucleotides) under Diaphorina citri (Asian citrus psyllid). The record is from RNAcentral. Lineage: Eukaryota; Metazoa; Arthropoda; Insecta; Hemiptera; Psyllidae.
GCCAGCGGCGAUAGCACGUUGAACGCGCCAUUUCUCCUCGGAUCACUGAAGUUAAGGAACGUUGCACGUGGUUAGUAUCCGGUUGGGUGACCAUGUGGGCAAUCGCGUCCUGCUGGCU